GACGAACGCUGGCGGCGUGCUUAACACAUGCAAGUCGAACGGAAAGGCCCUGCUUUUGUGGGGUGCUCGAGUGGCGAACGGGUGAGUAACACGUGAGUAACCUGCCCUUGACUUUGGGAUAACUUCAGGAAACUGGGGCUAAUACCGGAUAGGAGCUCCUGCUGCAUGGUGGGGGUUGGAAAGUUUCGGCGGUUGGGGAUGGACUCGCGGCUUAUCAGCUUGUUGGUGGGGUAGUGGCUUACCAAGGCUUUGACGGGUAGCCGGCCUGAGAGGGUGACCGGCCACAGUGGGACUGAGAGACGGACCAGAGUCCUACGGGAGGCAGCAGUGGGGAAUAUUGCACAAUGGGCGGAAGCCGGAUGCAGCAACGCCGCGUGCGGGAUGACGGCCUUCGGGUUGUAAACCGCUUUCGCCUGUGACGAAGCGUGAGUGACGGUAAUGAGUAAAGAAGCACCGGCUAACUACGUG
This 468-nucleotide ribosomal RNA is filed under the name uncultured bacterium. RNAcentral's name for it is "partial 16S ribosomal RNA". It matches the Rfam family "Bacterial small subunit ribosomal RNA", at positions 28 to 507 of the family's 1533-position model. The record is from RNAcentral.